CACAAAGAUAUAAUGGCCUGCUUUAAUAUAAUAUCAAUGUCAACUAUUAGUGAAUACAUUUUCUUUAUUUUUAACAGGAAGCUUUUCCACUCAAUUCAGCUGCAGAUGAUCUGAGACCACAAAGGUCGCUUCCUGAGCACAUUCACAGGACUAUCUGGUUAUGUGCAUGAUGCACGGGUCCUGCGGUGGAGCUCCAUUUAUGUGCAGCAGCUCUACCCGCCUCCUGGCUGGUGCAUCAUUGGGGAUGGAGGGUACCCAUGCCUGGCCAAAUCCAUGAGCCUGAUGACCCCAUACAGGGAGCCGGUGCAGAACCCAGUACAGGGGAGGUAUAACCGGCAUCAUUCAAAGGCCAGAUGUGUGGUGGAGAGCUCAAUUGGGAUGAUGAAGAUCCGGUGGCGCAGCAUCUUCCUCAAAGCUCUUGAGGUCAUCUGAGUGACCUGAUGCUCGGUCCUGAAGCUCCUGUUUGACGAGGUGUUCCUGGAACCACCAGGUUCUCCUCACAGCAUGAGAAACCAUCAGAGGAGAAGCAGCAUCAGGAGAGUCUCCGUAUCCACGUGAAGAUGCGCCACCGUGUCUUGAGAACUCUAUUACCAGCUGACACAACUUCACUAUGGAUGCAGUCAUAAUAACACAUAUGGACAGCUCCGACAGUAAUCAAUAUACCAUUACUCUGAUGACUUUUGUACAUUUAUCAGGUGUCUUUUACCAGAAAUAAUUAACUGACUACUAUUUCACAUCUUCUAUUUUCCACUGCCUCACUGAUUGUCACUGUACACACAUUAGCACCAUGCUACAUGAUACCUCUGUAUCUCCCAUGGAUGUAUGAAGACAUUUUAUCUCACAACAAUUGUUUUCUUCUUCUCUGGGCUCUGUCAGUCAUUUCUCACAAAUGUUCCUGUAAAGGAAAACGUAAAACAGAGUGUAUGUUUACAGUUCAGAGAGUUUAUGCAUAACGUAAAUACUGAGCUGACGUAACAUGUGACAGAGAUAUAAAUUGCAUUAUUUACUGGAGCAAAAAGCAUCGGGGGAACCUGUAAUCUUGGCUGUGGAUGUUGUUCAUUUCUCCCCAAUUUCAGAUCAGUUUCUUGCUGGAACGUGUGCUGUGAAGUUUUUGGAUUACACACUUUUAAUCCAGUCAUUAUUGACUGUUGAAUUGCUGAUAAACUCCAUGAGGCUGUGAAUCCCAAGCCCCCAGGAAGAGCGCUAGUUGGUGAUCCCAAUUUUGGCAGCGGCCAAACGGCGGUACCACAACUUCCGUGUCCGUCACGUGAUGCUAUUGGGCCCAAAAAUACUUUUUUACCAUAGACUUACUUUGGGAAAGAGACGUCUGUAACCCAGCGGAUAAUUUGUUUUAAGGUGAAUCAACUCCCCAGUACGAACACUCUAAUAGUCCUUAUUAAAAUCAUUAGGUCCUAAAAGUUGUAAAACGCA
Sebastes umbrosus (honeycomb rockfish) is the source of this 1431-nucleotide long non-coding RNA. RefSeq lists it as uncharacterized. NCBI's taxonomy places the organism in Eukaryota, Metazoa, Chordata, Actinopteri, Perciformes, Sebastidae. The transcript is spliced from 3 exons. The record is from RefSeq and is a predicted model, not a curated record.